CACGGAGUUAGCCGAUCCUUAUUCUUUAGGUACAUUCAGCUCCUUACACGUAAGAAGGUUUAUUCCCUAACAAAAGCAGUUUACAACCCAUAGGGCAGUCAUCCUGCACGCGGCAUGGCUGGUUCAGGCUUGCGCCCAUUGACCAAUAUUCCUUACUGCUGCCUCCCGUAGGAGUCUGGUCCGUGUCUCAGUACCAGUGUGGGGGAUUCUCCUCUCAGAGCCCCUAGACAUCGUCGCCUUGGUAAGCCGUUACCUUACCAACUAGCUAAUGUCACGCGAGCCCAUCCAUAUCCUAUAAAUAUUUAAAUGUGAUAACAUGUGUUACUACAUUGUUAUGCGGUGUUAAUCCGAAUUUCUUCGGGCUAUCCCCCUGAUAUGGGUAGGUUGCUCACGCGUUACGCACCCGUGCGCCACUCUCAAAUCGGGUAGCAAGCUACCCUCAGAUCCCGUUCGACUUGCAUGUAUUAGGCCUGCCGCUAGCGUUCAUCCUGAGCCAGGA
RNAcentral lists this ribosomal RNA (499 nucleotides) under uncultured Sphingobacterium sp. Its description in RNAcentral is "partial 16S ribosomal RNA". Lineage: Bacteria; Pseudomonadati; Bacteroidota; Sphingobacteriia; Sphingobacteriales; Sphingobacteriaceae. The record is from RNAcentral.